AGAUCGAGGCGAAUGACGAGAUGGAAAAUGGAUAAUGGAAUGGAUUCGCAAUCUGUCCAUGGAUACGCGAUUGCAGUUCUGCGUGAGAUGGAAUCGUCGCAAUCUCGAGUCAAAAGCAGCAUCCGUGUCCGAAGAUACCGUUUAUCGUCAAGUGAGAAGUAACACGCCACGAAGGAAAUAUGUCGCGCGCGACGUGAGAUACCGGGACACAACGGAGGAAUACGGACGACGCUGAUCGAAGGGGAAACUUGUGGCUAAAAUUCGCAUCUCUUUCUUUACAUGUCAUCAAGAGCUUUAAGGAUGCUGCGGAAAUAAAUGGCGGUUUCGUCUGGCAGUUUUAUCUUCUGAACACUCGGCGCUUCGUCGUAUCGCUACAACGAGUUUCCCGAUGCUGCGCCUCUUCGUUCGUGCACACAAGGUGGUGGUGAAUGAAGGAAAAGAGGGGGCAAGAGGGAAAAGCUGAUAGGCCACACCGAGACACGUUAAUGAGUUUUUCGAGGGACGUGCCGGGCGCAGAGACGAUCGACAAGAGGCGGGAAUUAGAGGUGCGAGAAAGCUACGAGCUGGGGGGUCGUCUGGUAACAAAGGAGGAAAAGCGGGAAAAGGCGGGAUAACGAGAGAGAGAGAGAGAGAGAGAGAGAAGGAGAGAGAAAAAAGAUAAUCGCGAAAUCGAGGGAUGCACGCGAGGGGGCUGCUCAAGAUCGAUUCCUCAGUUUUAAAUUUAAAUAAACGCCAGCUCGCGUAGCCGAUAAGGGCCCUACCUCGCAAUAGACGCGCGCGAGAACCCCUCUCGUUUUAGUGGCAAUUUUUCUUUCCGCGCGCAGCCAGACUGUUUGCCGCGACAGACUCCGAGAACACUCCGACAAGAUCAAUAUCAUGAGAAAAUCCGAUCGUCAUUACACUAAUACUCACAUCUGCCGGAGAUUUUCGUAGUACUUUACGACGCAGCGAUAAACGCAAUUCCAGCGCAAUUGAGAAACAUUAAGGGCAGGAUAUGUUUAAUAGUGCCAUUUUGCAUUCGCAGAGAUGGCUACGAACCGCAUUAAAAACAUUAACAGUUAAAAACAUAAAGCGUUUAAAAAAUAUCGAUAUACGAUCGAUAAUAUUUUGAUGAUAUUCAUCUCGAUAAUGAUUGAUAUGUCGAAUUUUAUCUUAUUACCGGAGAGAUGAAAAGUUAGUUUGUUUCUUUCUUUUUUUAACAAAAUGGGAUUCAUUACGUUGAAGGGAUUAAUAUCGUGAACAAUACUCCAAGAGAGGCACUUUCGUGCAAUGUAAUAGCCGGUCGAUGCGAGACUAGAAAUUUAAUGAUAAGAGAGCGACGAUAUAUAUCUGUUGUAAAGUAACAAUUAAUUUUAAAUUUAUCGAUAAAUUUUCGCGAGGGUCAUGAAAUCGCAUUUUCACUGGUCGGGAAAGCAGAUGAUUUCCAGGCUUUACUCGGAUAAAUCGAAAUCGAUGGAUUCAAAUGCCGAUCUGUAAUAUCGGCGCCCACGUGGCGUGUGCUACAAGCAGAAUUCCAAUUUCCUCGGGCGUUGGACAAUUAAAUUACAAUCGGCAAACACGAUAAGCACGAUCGUUUCGAUCAGAAUGGAUGUUGUAGGCUAGCAUUUAAAUCAAAAUGUUGGACCCUUUUUUUUCGAAAGAGAAAAAAAGAACAAAUAAAAACACUAUUUCCUUCCCGCCGCUCUCUCCGUCCCGCAUCCACGCCAUGUUUAUCGAUGUAUAGAUCAAUAUUUUCCGUAUCAUAGGCGCUAAAUCUUGUUUCAUCAAAAGUCGCGCGACCCAUUAAUGAUUUCAUACAAAAAUGAUACUGUAAUUGAUGCGAUACUACCCACUUUUGUGCGUGAGAAGCUGUAAAUAUUUAACAAAUUUUCUGUAUAAUCUUUUUUUUUCCUGCACCGGAUUUCUCGUUAAAAAUCGUUUAGUGAGGAGUGCGAAAGGGCGAUAAAAACACGUUUCGAAAGACAAUCUUCUAAAAUCAACAUUUAGUUAUUUGCGAACGUAUAUUCAUCUCUUGCACGUAAUCGAAACAAACAGUAUCCUCGUACUCGGUUUCAUCGCUGCGGUUCCGUCAAAAGAAUCGCAGCGAAACGCGAUGGGCGGUAUGGAAUUAAUGAUCGUAUCAUAAUAAAUUUUUAUUCGAGAAAAGAAUAGCGCGCGCGCGUGUAUUUUUGCAACUCUCACAUUUUUCUCAUUAAUGCGAGAUUUAUUUAUCGGAGAAGAUAUCCAUUAAAAGAUUGGAGAAAUACAUUUUACGCAUAAAAUUAUUCUAAAACAAAGCAAAGUCCUCCCUCGUGAUCGUACAAUUGUCGGCAAUUAUCCACCGCGUGGAUUCCUUUCUCUCUCAGUUAAGAUUUUUAGCAUCAGCGCGUCAAUAAGGCCGCACCUUUACGUAAUUCCAUCUCCGAGUUUGCAGGUGGCUUAAUUUUUGCCGUAACACGUCUGUCGUUGCGCACCGGUCCGCGUCUCGCCGAGAUACGGCACGGAUUUUUCUCGUUGCUGAUUUUAAUAACAGAUUGCUACUGGAAGCACCGAGGGUGGAAAACGCAGGACGAGGAGGCAGAGGGAAACGUUAGCACCGGGGAGACAAGAAGAGGAGGAAAGGGGUGAAGGAAAAAGAGACAGAGAGAGAGAGAGAGAGAGAGAGCGAGAAAAGGAUCGUGCCUGAGUCACUGCUUAUACGUGACUACGGCGACGCCGUUGCCGCCACCCCCUUUCGCCACCUCCGAUAUAACCAUUCCUACCAUCUCCCCGUGCCGCAUUCUCUGCAAUGUUUCGCCGUUACAUUCUCCCCUCGAAUGCGAUACCUAUACUUGCCUACGCGAACGACGGACACGUUCGAAUAAAUUAAAACGAUUCUUUUCGUGACCUGCAACCUCAUCUCAGCCCUUGUCCCGCCCUCGUCUAGCCAGUAUCUUUGGUGGCGGGUGAGAGGGCAAUAAAUAAAAUUAGCACGAACCCCGUGACGAAUCGCACCAAGUUCCCGUUACUACUGUCUACCUGCGUGCGAAUAGUUUAUCGCGUCCCCUCCGUUUAUUGCAAAUCGGAUUCUGGAAUAGAUCAAACCAUUUGUCGCGUUGGCGUGUUGUCGGUCGGCGAAUGCCGAAUAAACGCGAAUCUCAAUCCGUGAAGACUGGCUAUGAUUUAAAAACGCACAAGAUACGUUUGUACAAAUGUUUAACUUGUAUUUAUCAUUUAUAAAUUUUGAUGACUGAAUUCAUGAAAUUAUUAACUUAAAAAAAAAAUAAUAAUUUCAUAUAAAUGAAUAUAAAUGAAUAUAAAUAUGAAGUCAAAAUUGGAUUUUCUAUUAUUCAUGUCUCGAUUUAAUUUCAUUUGUAUCAAAAAUCCUUUCAAGUAUCCUCUCGAUUGAAAUUAUUUGGGAUGUUGCCGUGAAAUUUUAUGAAAAUGAGAGGUUGAGCAUUUUCGGGAACUUUAUUCAAAAAUUCUAGUUUACACACUCGCGUUUCUUAAUGGAAAUUUAUGCAGAACGCGCUACACGUAAUUUCGGCUUUCUCCCCUUCAUCAACAAGUCCGUCUGUCCGAGUCGGAAAUGGCGACUUUAUCAUUCUAAAUUCGCGCUAACUAAUGAAAGUCAAAAAUUAUAUUCUUUAGCGGAACGUUAUGUUGCCGGAAAUGAUGUACUUUGACGAGAUACGCAUAUCGUUUUGCAUUCUCGUAAAUUAGAGCGCAUACAUAAAAUUAUGCUCCGCGUGAUUAUCAUAAAGAACUGAUUAAAAGUCGUGAACAAUGCCGAGAAGGAAAAGCACGAUAUGUAAAUAUUUUUUUCAGCAAACAAAAAAAAAAAAAAAUAUGGCAAAAACUGUACACAAUUCUUGAACUAGAAUUAUCAUGUUAACUGCAACGUAAAAAUGAAAAAAAAAAAAAAAAAAAAACGACGGUAUUUACGAGGGAUGUAUGCGUUAUGAUAUUAUAACUUUACAAGUAUAAUACGCGCGAAUAAAAUAUCUAAAUAUAAACGUAUACAUUUGUCCUUCUCUCCUACCUAUAUACCUUCCCCGAAUAUCAACACUUGCAGAAUAUUAAUAAUUAUACCAACGAUACAAUGUUUGCUUUUCCGUUAACUGUAUUAAUAACUGCAACAAGGGAGUUCAAUUGUGUUUACUGAAAUUACAUUUGCUGGCAAACAAAUGCGUCGUCAUAAAUGCGGCAGUGCGAUCGCAUUGCCACGCAUUCGAGAAUGAAAAUAGAUUUCGCGAGACGUUUGCAGGCGUAUGGCAACGAUAUAUUUGUGCGACACACAACGCGAGUUGUCUCUAUAAUUAUCCUACAAUAUAUAUUCACCGCGUUAUACGUCACGUUGCACGAAGCUGUACGAGGAAUAAAACGGCGGCAUCGAGGGAGGGCUGAAAAACCUAUUCGUAUAUAUAAUGCUUUUUCAGGCCCGUAAACUUGUAAUGUCGUCAGACCAAGAGGAUCGCCGGUAGAUGCUUGUAAUCUGUCCGACCGAUUUAAUUAAUCUCCGUUUGAACGCAUAAAAACGCGCAAAGAGCGUUACGUUGAUCUCUUAGCUCUGCAAAACUCUGCUAUAUUCCCUCCAUCUAAAAAUAUGUCGUCUAGUUAUCAUCGCUAAAAUGCUCCAUUACUUUAUUAUUGAUUGUUGAUUUUUAUAUGUAAAAUAUUAUUAUUUUCUUAUAUAUCAAACAAAAAACAUUCGUAUCGUAUUCAUAACUCUUAAUGAUAUCCUGUACACCGAUAGCAAAAUAGGUCCUACGGCUAUUUAGAAAAACUUUAUAUUGCGAAUGGAACGUAAAAAUUCCUCCGGCCUGACAAAAUAUUCAGAGUCGGCACACACGACCGAUUCCUCGUUACUACUGAAACUCGUGCUGAUGUUAUUGACCCAAUGAAAUACCCUGUGAUACGCAAACAAGUUAUAAUAUAAAAUAGCCACGGGUCAAUGAAAAAGCUAAUAUUAAAAGUGUUUCUCUUGAAUGAGUUGAUACGAGCGAUUGAAACGAGAAAUUGAAUAAAAAUGUGUACUGCUUAAUUGCCAAAUAGAUAUAUAAUUCACAAUAAAUUUAUAAUUUAUACAAUAGGUAUACAUAUAAUUCAUAUUACUAAAUAUACAAUGUUUAUUAUGAGAUUUUGCGGACACUAGCUAUUAAUCUUCAGCACCGAUCGUUGAAACAAAUUUGUCUAAAUGCAUUAUUGUCUAAUUUGCAUAAUAACAGAUUAAUCGUUCUACUAUAUAAUUACAUUAUAUAGGCUUAAUACAUAUAAUUAAACUGAAUGAUUAUUAUAAUGAUAUAGAGGGAUUGCAAAGUGUUCAAAAAUAUUUGCAUUAAUAAAGAUAGUAUUAUAUAAAACCUUAUUUUAUUUCUGAUAUUUGCAUUCUAUAUAGAAUUGCAUUACUCUUUCAGUACAUACCGAAUUCCGGCAUUAUAUUGUGUCUUAUUUCUCGCGAAAAUACACGAUGCAUCUAAAGCGAACAUUUGCAAAGCGCAACAACAAUUUUCUAGCCAAUUUCUUAUAUAAUUUCUCGUCGCGACGACAAUAAUAAGACAUAUUGUAGACAAUUGCAUUAUUACUCAAUCGUAAUUUAUAAAUUGAAAAGAGCCCAGAAUAAUAUUCGUUGACAAAAGCCUUUGUUAAGUUACAUUGCCACAAAUAAAAUUAAAGAACGCCUAAAAGGAUAAUCUAUGGUGUAUCCGCGUUGAGAACAGCGGCAAAUAUCUCUUUCCUUUCUUUGUCAUCAGCUUUCAAGAGACGUCUCAUUCGUAUCGUAAUUACAAGGGAUUUUUCUGACACGCUGUUGAAUUAAUAAAUUAAUUACAUGUAUAUAAAUCGUCAAUCUUUGUUAUUUUCUUAUUUAUAUUUUCGCCGCAUCUUCCGCGUGCGCAGUUUCGGUUUGAAUCUUACGUGAAAACUCGAGAGAGCUGUCUUAAGAAUACGAAGAUUAUGUUUCGCAUAAGCCCCGACAAACUUCCGCCUCCAUCGUUUCUCAUCAUCUCUUUGUAGCCGACUUAAAAGGCGGAUGCAAUUUUACUUUACAGAUAAUUAAUAAUUAAAUAUUGCAAAGCUUUCAAAGGUAGCGCAAUACGGCAUGAGAGACCAUAAUCGUCAUUUCUUCAUUGGAUACUAUAAUACCUUCUGUUUCUCGCUAUAUACUUUAAG
Long non-coding RNA from Cataglyphis hispanica, 6129 nucleotides. RefSeq lists it as uncharacterized. The transcript is spliced from 4 exons. The record is from RefSeq and is a predicted model, not a curated record. NCBI's taxonomy places the organism in Eukaryota, Metazoa, Arthropoda, Insecta, Hymenoptera, Formicidae.